CAUUAAAAACUCAUUUCCGCCCGAACCCUUCUCAGUGAAAAACCUAGGCUUCAAAACUCAUGUCCGCAGACAAAAACCCAAAGCUUCAUCUCUUCUCCACCACUACCAAGGGUCGGCGGCCUCCUCCACUUCAUCACCGCCGGCCUCUCUCAUUCUCUUCCUCUACCCAAUUGGGAGAGGACAGGCUCCCUCUUCCGCCUCCAUCUCAUCCACAGCCGAUGCUAACGCACACAAUAGGAGCUUCAUCCCAGAAUUCGUCGGCCAUCUCAUCUCCUCUACUAUCAUCCUCAUCGCUAACGACAAGGUCUUCUCACAGAUCUUGUGGAUCUGAAAGCCAUCUCACAGUGCCUUCAUCCUCAGCCCACCACCUUCUCCCAAUUGGGAGAGGUGGUGCCACCGUCGAACUCUACAUCACCCUCUCCUGAUUGGUAGAGGUUUCUUCACCACCACUGGUUUUCUUCCACCUCUUCAUUUUGGAUUUAAAGAGUAAAGCUUCAUCACUAGCCGGUAGCGCCUCUCCUCUUCGGAUUUGAAGAGGAGAGUUCAUCCAUCCUUUCGACAACCCCUUUCUCUUCAGAUUUGAAAAGAAGGGUCCGUUCUCCAUCAAUGAGCAGUUCAUCCACAGCCUUCACUGACAGAUUGGCCGUCGGAGAAUCUCCAUCCAGUAGCCCCCUCUCUACUUUAGAUUCGAAGAGGAGAGCUGUAUUCCAAUUCAUGUCUACGACAUUGGGUUAUUUCUAUCUAUGUUGGAUUGUGUUAUGCUUGUUGGUUGUUAAUUGUAACGUAACUAUUCUCCCAUAUUUAGAAUUGCAUGUAUUUUGCUUAAUUGAAUUCUCGCUCAUUAUGUGUUUGAUGAAAUGCCUCUUUCAUUAGUUAGUUUCUAAACUUGCAUCUUCUUUGGUUUGAAUUCUUGUGAUGGUUAGUUAGUUGAAUGUUUUAGGUUAGAUUAGAUUAGUUCAAUUUUGAAAAAUUUCUGCGACUCAAAUUUAUUCAACUUUUCAAUUGCCUUGCCUAGACUCAAAUUGCCUUGAAUGGAGUUCAAUUAGGUUGGUUAGGAUUCAUGUACCAAACACCAAAUACCUAGAGUUAGCUGGGCUUAUUGUGAUUUUGGAUAUAUCCACUAUUAAUUUCAUAAUUUUCAAGCAUGUAGUUAUGUAUAGCUUUUUUAGUUUUUUUAUUUUUGUUAAACCUAAUAUAUCUAUCAUGAUGCUUUUCCAUAGAUUGGCAAGACCUGUGGGGAGAAAUGGAAAACAAUUUCAUUUGAGGUUGGAUCUUGCAUAUUUUUAUACACCAAUGCAUAUGAUUUAGUUUUUUGGUAUAAGAAAAAUGCUAUAAUACAUAUAUACAUCUAUUUGCAAACGUGAAUGAUUCAAGGCAACUAAGACUAUGCAAGAGUUAGAAAGGCAUUGCUAUAUUGUAUGAGAUUGGAGAUAGAGACAAGGUCAUUGCUGAGAUAGAGGAUGUAUCCAUUUCUCUAAAGGGAUACCCAGGUACUUCUUCAAGAUUAAUUUUAUGCUUCCUACAAUACAUGUUUUACAAGUUUUUAUAAGGGGUAUCUUUCAUCCCACAGAGAUACAUGCAGCUCUAGCUGUAUCAUUGUAUACUAACAAGCAUGCUGCACUCCUUGCUGAGAACCAGUUUACAAUUUCCACUCUUUUGGAUCCUCAUUAUACUGAUCUCUCAUAUGUCAGGGGAACUAAGCAUUGGCCUUCGAGCUUUAUUGAUUCCUUGUAGCAUGUCAUCACACUUUCCUAACAAGCUCCAAUAUCUUUCUUGGUUGAUAAAUGGUGAUGCAUUAAGUCUUUUUCAAUGCAGAUGUUAAUGGACCAUAAACAAAUUUUGUGUGCCACUUCUAAAGGACAUCAUAUCACAAGUAGAUUCUAAAGGAUACAUUUGAUAAGCUUGUUUAAAUUGAUUACAUAUGAUUUCUUUUCUUCAUUGCAAGUAACUUUUAUGUGAUAUAUAUACAUUGCUGAUAACACACAUGCCAACCAUACAAUUUUUACUUUAAGCCUCAUCUCAAGCACAACGAGAAAGCCACAUAUAAACAGAGCUAAGUGAAGUUCAACAUUGCUUGCAUGAUGCUCUUUAAGGAGACAUUGAUAAGCGAAGAGGAGGAAAAAGCACUACUUGAUCAGAGUAUGGAGGAUUAAGAUGCAAAAUAUAGAAAAAUGAAAGUCCAUGGCUACAUAUAUCAAGAGAGAGGUUCAUCAUCAUUUAUCUCCAGUCUCUUAGAAUAUUGCAUGGGCCUAAUAACCUUUCUUUUUUGUUAAAAUUUGUUUGAAAGUGGAGAGUUCUCUAAUGAAUCUAAUUACUAAAUGAUUGGUAAGGAUGUUGGAUAUGUAUCUGUGAGAAAAAAAGAGUUCUCUAAUGAAUCCAAACUUACGUGUUGCUUAAGUAUUUUUACCUUAAGUUUUUGAUCUUUCACCGAUCUGUGUUUGUUUUCUUUGAUACACAGGUUUGUUCCGCCUUUGUACAACUUAUAGAAGUUCAACCAUCAUUUCUAGAGAUAUUUUGAAGGUGAGUGGAGGUAUUAAAAAACUCCAGCUAAAUAGCUCGAGUAUGGAUGAUUACAGGAGCAACAACUAUAUGCUAUGUGGCAGUGCAUCUGAACCUCAGGGGUGUGACUGGGAAGUACUUCGACGAAGAACUAUCAAGAAAGCUUUGGGAUUUAAGUGAGAAGAUGGUUAAAGUCAAUGAGUAAAGAACAUUCAAGUCAAGAGGAUAAGUAGCAACUAUCAAGAUCCUUUUAAGUUCAUGCAAUAAGAUGUAAUUGAUAGGAGUAGUUUUGAGUGUCUCCUAAUUAAAAUUUCUUUGUAUGUAAGUAAUAAUGUUUGUUA
Molecule: long non-coding RNA, 2840 nt
Organism: Zingiber officinale
Lineage: Eukaryota; Viridiplantae; Streptophyta; Magnoliopsida; Zingiberales; Zingiberaceae
Exons: 2
Source: RefSeq, a predicted model, not a curated record